AUAGAAUGUAAAAACAAAAACCUAGGAAACCCAAAACUCAAUGAAAUAGUUUAAAAUUAAAAUUAAUCAUUAAAAAUCAACAUAUAAAGAAAGGCUUCAUUGACAUAUAAUCAUCACAUAUAAUUCUCCUUUCCAUUGAAUAGAGAUAUGUGGAAAUAAUUUGGUAGAAAUUCUAGAUUUUGCAUUUGGAAGAAAAAAGAAGGGAAAAUUUAUCUCUGUUUUUUGGAGCCAUCAUUAGCUUAAUGGCUUUGAGUGAGCAAGAUGAAUAUGACCCAACAGUCCUAACUAUUUAUUCCCCUGGGAAAGGCAGCAGCCUAAUGUCAUCACAAACAGAGCUCUGCAUUGGCUUUAUUUGAAAACCCUUGUUUUUUCUUGAGAAAACCAUGACUUCUCUUUCUUUUACAAUGCACAUGUAGUAUUGUGUCCUAACAGCCCUGAAUGUCUAGAGAUUUGGGCCACGGCACAGGAAGAAUUAAUCACCUUGGGCUCGGUCUUCCCCACCCGGAGCAGCGAGCACCAGGCCCCCGAUGCAGAGCAGCGGUAAGCGGUCUCCCCCGGAGACGGCAGAGCAGGCCACCGGCAACACCUGAACAGAGGAAGAAUGAGAUGAAGUUACAGGAGGAACGAGAGAGCGUCCCCGGCUCGUGAAGGACGAGGCGUGUGAUUGGGUCUGCGUCGCCGGCCUGGCAGCUGUCCCUGCAGCCCCAUAUUGCAGGGGGGGAUGCGGGGGCAGCCCGGUGAGGCGGAGCAGGGAAACUGGGUGCGAGGAGGUGGGGCUGGAGGCCUGAACAACUAAGCCGCACUGCCACUAGGUGCCCCCUGAUUCUCAAUGGGAGCACCAUUGCAGGGGGGACAGUGGCAGUGCCGGGAGGGAGGGCAAAGGAGUAUUACUGAUUUCUCCUGGGUCUCCCCUCCUCCCUGUUCUCCCCUUCUCCUCUUUACCUCCCCUUUUUUUCCAUUCUAGACCACAGCCCCCCUACUGUCCUGCUCUGGAAUUCAUCACUGGCCUGCCCCCUACCAUCCUGCCCUGGAAUUCAUCGCCUGCCUGCCCCCUACCAUCCUGCCCUGGAAUUUCUCGCCUGCCUGCCGACAGCCACCCCAGGACACGCCUGCUUCAUCAUUCCUGGGCCCCUCAGCCAAGACAACUCCAGCCCCUCUCCCGGGGUGUCCCCUGGGGCCUAACCUUCCCCAGGGCCCCUUCUCCCU
Long non-coding RNA from Ornithorhynchus anatinus (platypus), 1206 nucleotides. RefSeq lists it as uncharacterized. Lineage: Eukaryota; Metazoa; Chordata; Mammalia; Monotremata; Ornithorhynchidae. The record is from RefSeq and is a predicted model, not a curated record. The transcript has 2 exons.